This 415-nucleotide ribosomal RNA is filed under the name uncultured Acidobacteriaceae bacterium. RNAcentral describes it as "bacterial SSU rRNA". It matches the Rfam family "Bacterial small subunit ribosomal RNA", at positions 370 to 779 of the family's 1533-position model. The record is from RNAcentral. Lineage: Bacteria; Pseudomonadati; Acidobacteriota; Terriglobia; Terriglobales; Acidobacteriaceae.
AAUGGGGGAAACCCUGACGCAGCAACGCCGCGUGGGUGAAGAAGCAUCUUGGUGUGUAAAGCCCUGUCAACGGGGAAUAAUUUCACAGUCUAAGAGAUGGUGAGAUUGAAGGUACCCGUGGAGGAAGCCCCGGCUAACUCCGUGCCAGCAGCCGCGGUAAUACGGAGGGGGCAAGCGUUAUUCGGAAUUACUAGGCGUAAAGAGCGCGCGGGCGGCGCAUUAAGUGAGAAGUGAAAGACCUGGGCCUAACCCAGGAGUGGCUUCUCAUACUGAUGUGCUAGAGGAUGGGAGAGGAAAGCGGAAUUCCCGGUGUAGCGGUGAAAUGCGUAGAGAUCGGGAGGAACACCAGUGGCGAAGCGGCUUUCUGGACCAUUACUGACGCUGAGGCGCGAAAGCGUGGGGAGCAAACAGGAUU